GCAGCGAUGUCCGAGUGGUUAAGGAGAUUGACUCGAAAUCAAUUGGGCUCCGCCCGCGCAGGUUCGAAUCCUGCUCGCUGCG
RNAcentral lists this transfer RNA (82 nucleotides) under Cylicocyclus nassatus. It matches the Rfam family "tRNA". Rfam says of the family: Transfer RNA (tRNA) molecules are approximately 80 nucleotides in length. Their secondary structure includes four short double-helical elements and three loops (D, anti-codon, and T loops). Further hydrogen bonds mediate the characteristic L-shaped molecular structure. tRNAs have two regions of fundamental functional importance: the anti-codon, which is responsible for specific mRNA codon recognition, and the 3' end, to which the tRNAs corresponding amino acid is attached (by aminoacyl-tRNA synthetases). tRNAs cope with the degeneracy of the genetic code in two manners: having more than one tRNA (with a specific anti-codon) for a particular amino acid; and 'wobble' base-pairing, i.e. permitting non-standard base-pairing at the 3rd anti-codon position. Lineage: Eukaryota; Metazoa; Nematoda; Chromadorea; Rhabditida; Strongylidae. RNAcentral also lists the same sequence under 1 other name. The record is from Rfam by way of RNAcentral.